GAUGAACGCUAGCGGCAGGCUUAACACAUGCAAGUCGAGGGGUAUAGUAGCAAUACUAGAGACCGGCGCACGGGUGCGUAACGCGUAUGCAACCUACCUUUUACAGAGGGAUAGCCCCAGAGAAAUUUGGAUUAAUACCUCAUAGUGUUAUUAGAUGGCAUCAUUUGAUAACUAAAGUUCCAACGGUAAAAGAUGGGCAUGCGUCCUAUUAGCUAGAUGGUAAGGUAACGGCUUACCAUGGCUACGAUAGGUAGGGGUCCUGAGAGGGAGAUCCCCCACACUGGUACUGAGACACGGACCAGACUCCUACGGGAGGCAGCAGUGAGGAAUAUUGGACAAUGGGCGCAAGCCUGAUCCAGCCAUGCCGCGUGCAGGAAGAAGCAUCUAUGGUGUGUAAAACUGCUUUUGUACGGGAAGAAACACUCCUACGUGUAGGAGCUUGACGGUACCGUAAGAAUAAGGAUCGGCUAACUCCGUGCCAGCAGCCGCGGU
RNAcentral lists this ribosomal RNA (492 nucleotides) under uncultured bacterium. RNAcentral describes it as "bacterial SSU rRNA". It matches the Rfam family "Bacterial small subunit ribosomal RNA", at positions 28 to 521 of the family's 1533-position model. The record is from RNAcentral.